RNAcentral lists this long non-coding RNA (431 nucleotides) under Anas platyrhynchos (mallard). RNAcentral describes it as "lncRNA (ENSAPLG00020015839.1)". The record is from RNAcentral. Lineage: Eukaryota; Metazoa; Chordata; Aves; Anseriformes; Anatidae.
AGAAUUACAGACAUCCCAAAAUUUGAUGUAUGUAACAAAAAUGAAAUGGAGCCUUUCAAAAGAUCUCCUGUGCAGCAGGGUCCGAAGAAUCCAAGAAUCCAGACAGCACAGUUGAAAGCAAGGGAAUUAAUAGCUUCUAUUGCUACUGAUUCUGGACAGGAGAAGUCUAUGUCUAAACAGUCAGCUAUUCAAAUCCAAACUUCUUCAGAUUUGCUUGAAGUUCAGCCUGUUGAAAUCGUCAGUGGUCAACUGCAUAAACCAAGUAAAGGAAAUGCUGAAAUAGCAAUGCCAUGCAAACUGUCUGUUCGUUCAAUUGAAAAGACCGCUCUCAUGCUAUUUGAGGUACCGUAGAGUUACAGAGCUUUGGUAUAUAAAAGGGAACAGAGGUAGAAAAACUGCAAUUUCAGACACUAUGUUAGAAUGUAAACCCA